GGUCUAUUGAGGUAAAGGCUAACCUGCCCGACUGUCUCUUGGGUACUGCGGGUUCGAUUCCCGCAUAGACCG
RNAcentral lists this transfer RNA (72 nucleotides) under Chryseobacterium lathyri. Its description in RNAcentral is "tRNA-Asp". It matches the Rfam family "tRNA". Rfam says of the family: Transfer RNA (tRNA) molecules are approximately 80 nucleotides in length. Their secondary structure includes four short double-helical elements and three loops (D, anti-codon, and T loops). Further hydrogen bonds mediate the characteristic L-shaped molecular structure. tRNAs have two regions of fundamental functional importance: the anti-codon, which is responsible for specific mRNA codon recognition, and the 3' end, to which the tRNAs corresponding amino acid is attached (by aminoacyl-tRNA synthetases). tRNAs cope with the degeneracy of the genetic code in two manners: having more than one tRNA (with a specific anti-codon) for a particular amino acid; and 'wobble' base-pairing, i.e. permitting non-standard base-pairing at the 3rd anti-codon position. RNAcentral also lists the same sequence under 4 other names. Lineage: Bacteria; Pseudomonadati; Bacteroidota; Flavobacteriia; Flavobacteriales; Weeksellaceae. The record is from RNAcentral.